RNAcentral lists this long non-coding RNA (613 nucleotides) under Homo sapiens (human). Its description in RNAcentral is "novel transcript, antisense to IWS1". The record is from RNAcentral. Lineage: Eukaryota; Metazoa; Chordata; Mammalia; Primates; Hominidae.
CCCAUCUGGGCUACUAUAACCACAUGGACCAUCCCUUGCUUCAAUCAUAGAAUUCUUUCUUCAGAUCAAAGUAUAUUCAGACACUCGAUACAGUAACAAAAGCAAGCUAUCCUGGAAGGAAGAAGGAAUCAGGAGGCAGAGCACAUGGUUAAAGCAUGAGAUGUGAAACCAGGAAGAACCAGGUCUGAACCUUAGCUCCACCAGUGGUAGCUUCAAACCUUGGUCCUUUCUGAGCCUGCUUCUUCAACCGUAAGAGCAAGGCCAAAAGCAGCUUCAAUUAUGGUACAACUGUGUGAAGACACAAUGCAAAACCACUCAAGAAUGCUCACUCAAAUGGAUUUUUACCAUGGAACUCGGAAACGGGACCCAGAAAGUUGUUUUCUCAAGUGGAUGGAACAACACAAGCAAUCAGUAUCCUGAAACAGGCCCUGUUCCAACAAACUGACCCAGAAAGGUCUGGUUAGGAGGACAGGACCCUCACUAUACACUAUCACAUUUAAACUAAAAGGAUAUUAUGAAUUAUGUACACAUAUCAAGCUGAGAGGAAAGGAAAUCCUAUCAUCUUGCAGGCUUCCUAAUGAUCUUACUUAAAACUGAGUUACUGCAACAAUAA